AAAGUGAGUACCGAUUCGUUUCUAUUUCUUCCGCCUGCCUGCCACGAGGCCAUCUUCCCCACCGACGCGCCGCUCGCCGCGCCCCCGGACGCGCCGCCCGCCGCUCCCCGGGCCGGCCCCGGGGCGGGUUGCGCGGAGCCGCAGAGCGGGCGAAGCGGCUCAGCGCGGGGGAGCAGCACGGCGCGGGCGAAACGACUCGGGAAGAGCGGCGCGGCGCGGCGCGAGCAGAGCGGCACGGCCAGAGCAGCGCUGGCGGGGUGGGGCGGAGCGGGCGCAGGCGAGCGCGCGGCAGAGCCGCACCGCGUAUCUGGAAUCAGGGCGAGGCACCAGCCUUUUCCCAGGAAUCCGUUUCUGCUGCUGCAUCCCCACUUCUCCGCCGGAUCGCUGCAAGAUUCUCGGACAUGUCGGACUCUGAGGAGCACCACUUCGAGUCCAAGGCCGACGCCGGCGCCUCCAAGACCUACCCGCAGCAGGCCGGGACCAUCCGCAAGAACGGCCCCUGCAAGGUUGUUGAGGUCUCUACUUCCAAGACUGGGAAGCAUGGCCAUGCCAAGUGCCACUUUGUCGGCAUUGACAUUUUCAAUGGAAAGAAGCUUGAGGAUAUUGUUCCUUCAUCUCACAACUGUGACGUUCCACAUGUUGACCGCACUGAGUAUCAGCUGAUUGACAUUUCUGAAGACGGAUACGUUAGCCUUUUGACGGAGAAUGGCAACACUAAGGAUGACCUGAAGCUUCCCAAUGAUGAAAAUCUGCAAGCCCAGGUCAGUGCACUACCUCAAGCAGGGCAGAGCACCACUGGGGUGCUGUGCUGCCAGCAGGUGCGCCCGUGCGGCGUCCGCUGGCCGGCAAGCAGAAGCAGCGCACGGCGAACGCACGAAGGCAGAGCAACACUGCAGAGGCUAAAAUGAAUUCGAUGGGAAAGGCAUAUUGCAAGGCUAAGGCCAAAUUGAUCUUUUUCACAUCGUCACAAGCAUUUCAGUACUUUGCAAUAGGCAUUUUUGUCAAAUAGCGAAGUAUUUUCAGUACUUUCCUAUAGGUAAUUAUAUCAAUUGCUAGAGGCAUUUCAGUACUUUUCCAGUAGGCAACUCAGUGCAUUUAUCCAGGUAAUAAUGUGUUAAGAACAUGGCAAACUCAGUGUAUUUAUCUUGGCAAUUCUUCUGAUUUUUCAGAUAUGCAACUCUGCAACAACUAGGUAUCCAGCAGGAAAGAAAGGAGGAAGUACCGGGAGAACAAGACGUGCAGAUUUGAAGCAGAUCACGUAGAUAAAGCAGGAUAAAGUAAAUACUUAUGUGGAGUUGUGGAUUUUGUGUGGACAUACGUACCUUUGUCUAUUUGCAUCGAUCUGUUUUGUUCUUUGCUGUACAAUUCCCCAUUCGCGUUGAAUGGGGGGCAGAUUUGCUUUUGGUUUUGUGCCGUAUGGGAGACGCGAGACGCGAGACGCGCUGGUUUCUAGUA
Panicum hallii is the source of this 1455-nucleotide RNA transcript. It is a transcript of the gene named eukaryotic translation initiation factor 5A-like, with no coding region annotated. NCBI's taxonomy places the organism in Eukaryota, Viridiplantae, Streptophyta, Magnoliopsida, Poales, Poaceae. The record is from RefSeq and is a predicted model, not a curated record. The transcript has 6 exons.